AACAGGCUAGAUUUAAAGAUGGCUGCAACUCCUCCUCCUCAGCCAGAGCCUCGAGGAAUUUAAGUAUUAUUAUGACUGGGAGGAGUGGAUUCAUUUAGACUAACAUGUUCUUCAUUGCACAGCCAUGUUUUGGUAAGACAGAAUAGAUCAAUUUGAUUAUCUGAUAUCAGACAAUUUACUACUGCU
Long non-coding RNA from Etheostoma cragini (Arkansas darter), 186 nucleotides. RefSeq lists it as uncharacterized. The record is from RefSeq and is a predicted model, not a curated record. NCBI's taxonomy places the organism in Eukaryota, Metazoa, Chordata, Actinopteri, Perciformes, Percidae. The transcript is spliced from 3 exons.